RNAcentral lists this ribosomal RNA (359 nucleotides) under Vibrio harveyi. RNAcentral describes it as "bacterial SSU rRNA". It matches the Rfam family "Bacterial small subunit ribosomal RNA", at positions 1070 to 1429 of the family's 1533-position model. The record is from RNAcentral. Lineage: Bacteria; Pseudomonadati; Pseudomonadota; Gammaproteobacteria; Vibrionales; Vibrionaceae.
AAACGUAAGGUUAAUUCCCGCAACGAGCGCAACCCUUAUCCUUGUUUGCCAGCACUUCGGGUGGGAACUCCAGGGAGACUGCCGGUGAUAAACCGGAGGAAGGUGGGGACGACGUCAAGUCAUCAUGGCCCUUACGAGUAGGGCUACACACGUGCUACAAUGGCGCAUACAGAGGGCGGCCAACUUGCGAGAGUGAGCGAAUCCCAAAAAGUGCGUCGUAGUCCGGAUCGGAGUCUGCAACUCGACUCCGUGAAGUCGGAAUCGCUAGUAAUCGUGGAUCAGAAUGCCACGGUGAAUACGUUCCCGGGCCUUGUACACACCGCCCGUCACACCAUGGGAGUGGGCUGCAAAAGAAGUAG